RNAcentral lists this ribosomal RNA (372 nucleotides) under uncultured prokaryote. RNAcentral describes it as "bacterial SSU rRNA". It matches the Rfam family "Bacterial small subunit ribosomal RNA", at positions 524 to 896 of the family's 1533-position model. The record is from RNAcentral.
UACGAACUGUGCGAACGUUAUUCGGAAUCACUGGGCUUAAAGGGUGCGUAGGCGGUUUUCUAAGUCAGGUGUGAAAUCUUCCGGCUCAACCGGAAAACUGCGCCUGAGACUGGAUAACUUGAGUGAGGUAGGGGUGUGUGGAACUUCCGGUGGAGCGGUGAAAUGUGUAGAGAUCGGAAGGAACGCCAGCAGCGAAAGCGGCACACUGGGCCUUGUCUGACGCUGAGGCACGAAAGCUAGGGUAGUGAACGGGAUUAGAUACCCCGGUAAUCCUAGCCGUAAACACUGAACACUGGAGGACGGGGGUUUCGGCCUUCGUUCUCGUAGCGAAAGCGUUAAGUGUUCCGCCUGGGGAGUAUGGUCGCAAGGCUG